This 414-nucleotide long non-coding RNA is filed under the name Heterocephalus glaber (naked mole-rat). Its description in RNAcentral is "lncRNA (ENSHGLG00100036231.1)". Lineage: Eukaryota; Metazoa; Chordata; Mammalia; Rodentia; Bathyergidae. The record is from RNAcentral.
CGGAAACGGUCUCCUGGUGGUCUUUGGGACAUCGCGAUCUGGGCACAACAUUUGGGGGCUCGUCCGGGAUCCCAAGACCUUCAGGACUCCCGUACCGGAGGGUCAACGCCGGCUGCCCACUUGGGAUGACUGUCAACAGCUUCUGCAGGUUCUGUUCACCACUGAGGAACGAGAGAGAAUCCAGAAUGAGGCCAGAAAAUUGGUUCCUGGUGACAGUGCCUCCAAAGUGUACACGAAGACAUCUGGCCUAAGUUAAAAGCCUUAUACCAGACCGGACCACCUCCUGAGCCCCAUCGCUACCGACCUGGAGACUGGGUCUUCGUUCGGAGACACCGGCAGAAAGACCUUGAGCCCCGUUGGAAAGGACCCUACGUCACAGUCCUGACCACGCCCACUGCUCUCAAGGUCGACGGG